AGUUAUGAAACGCGCCAUAACUUGGGAAGCAUCCAUGGAAACUCAGAGAGAGGUUUUGAGGAGAUAGUAGAAGGAGACGAAAGAUGGGAGUGAUAGAGGAGGGGAGUAUAUCGGGAUAUAUACCCAGCAAUGAAGCUUUUUCUGUUCACUAUCCGGCUUACCCUUCCUCCACAGCUCGCGCCAUUGAAACCCUAGGUGGAACUCAAGCUAUCCGUAAGGCUCGGAGCUCUCAAUCAAACAAGUUGGAGCUCCAUUUCCGGCCUGAGGACCCAUAUUCACAUCCUGCAUUUGGGGAGCUUCAGCCCUGUAAUAAUUUGCUGUUGAGAAUAUCCAAAAAGAAAUCUACUGAUGGCCAAAGUGCUGAAGUUUCCAGCAAGGUAUCAAAAUGUCCACCAACUGACUCCACUAAUCCUAAGCAAAAAAUUUGUGGUUCUGAAUCAGUAGGAAGUGAGCAGCAUGGCAGUCAACCUGAAGGUGAAUCAGUUGCUACUGGAGAAGAAGUUGAAGCACAAAUAUCUGGAGAAGUGCCGAUAAGACUUUGUGCCGAUAUUAUUGCUCGGGUGUCAGAGGCUUAUCAUUUUAAUGGAAUGGUGGACUACCAGCAUGUUCUUCCUGUUCAUGCUGAUGUUGCAAGAAGAAAAAAGAGAAACUGGGCUGAAGUGGAGCCACACCUCGAGAAGGGUGACCUUGUGGAUGUGGAUCAAGAGGAUUUGAUGAUACUAUUGCCUCCACUUUUUUCACCCAAGGAUGUGCCAGAGAAAUUAGUGUUAAGACCAUCAAUGACAUUGAACUUGAAAAAGAAACAAGAGGGAGUUGUGCAACAGCGUUGGGAGAUGGGUAUUGAGCCAUGUCUUGCAAUUGAUUUUGAGAUUAAAGAGAUUCCUAAGAAAGUAAAUUGGGAGCAAUACAUACCCAAGGGCUCUGAACAGUGGGAGUGGCAGAUGGCUGUAUCUAAUCUGUUUGAUGAGCGGCCUAUAUGGCCCAAAGGUGCACUGACUGAACGCUUGCUUGAUAAAGGUCUAAAUGUUGGAGAUUAUACACUUAGAAGGCUUCUGUUUAGAACUGCAUACUACUUUUCAAAUGGACCCUUCCUGAGAUUUUGGAUCAGAAAAGGAUAUGAUCCUCGGAAAAAUCCUGAUUCUUGCAUAUAUCAGAGAAUAGAUUUUCGAGUACCACCAUCCUUACGAAGUUAUUGUGAUGCUAAUGCAGCCAAUGGGUUGAAGCAGAGAUGGGAGGAUAUAUGCUCAUUUCGAGUAUUUCCUUAUAAGUGCCAUACAUCAUUGCAGUUGUUUGAACUUGCUGAUGAUUACAUUCAACAAGAGAUAAGAAAGCCUUUAAAGCAGACGACCUGCACUGGUGCUACAGGAUGGUUCUCAUAUCGUGUGCUGGAGAGCUUGAGGUUAUGUGUCAUGGUGAGGUUCCUAUCAAUAUGCCCUGAAACAAGUGCAGAAUACUUACUGAAAUCUGCUUCUGAUCGAUUUGAGAAGUCAAAGAGGAUGCACAUAUAUGAAAACAACUUGAGACCCAAUGAAGAGGGGAUCCAAGAAGUCAAUAAAGAACUGGAAGGUGACAAAGAUAAAGAGGAACCCAAUGAUGUGGAUGAUGAUGAGGAAGAUGAAAUGGAGGCUGAGAAUGGUGAAGAGGAAUUGGAUGCAUAUGAGGCACUAGAUAUGGUUGGUGAGGAUGAUGAAGAUUCUUUGCAAUCACGUUCAUAUCUAGAUGCAGAGAACAUCUCAAGGGACUAUUUGCAAGGGCUUUUUGGUAGCUUCUCAUUCACAAAAGCAGGUGGUGGUGAAGUGCAAGAUGCUGACACCAGCGAUGGAGAAUAUCAAAUCUAUGAGCAAGACAGUCUUGGCGAGUACUCUGAUGAUGAUGACUACUAAGCAAUUCCAAAAGCUAUAUCAAGAGGUGCCAAAGCUAAGCAUCCUCAUAAUCUCAAGGACAGCUUUUUCCAGCUGUCUUUUGGAUUGAAAUUUUGGUAUAGGUGCAGACUACUCGGAUGAUGAGAAGCUGAAGCUUUGUUUAAUUUUUAUGCAAUGAGAACUGACAAUCAAGGAAAAAAGGCUACCCAGGUUUUUGAGAGCCAUACAUAAUAUCAAUACGAGGGCAUUUGGGGAAUAAUUAUUGAAAACCUUGAGAAUUGAGUAUGAACAAAUCAAAAUUGCAUUUAUAUAUUGUCCUUUGGAAUUAAAGGAAGAGGUUCAAAUGGGCCCUCUUUUUUCUCUGUUUUACAUUCUGCAAUGAAAAUUUACAAGCCAAAUGAAAGCCAUUUAGAUUGUAUAAACAGACGAAAAAGUUGUGUCCUUCAGUCCAGGUAGAA
Vitis vinifera (wine grape) is the source of this 2320-nucleotide RNA transcript. RefSeq lists it as uncharacterized. The transcript has 16 exons. The record is from RefSeq and is a predicted model, not a curated record. NCBI's taxonomy places the organism in Eukaryota, Viridiplantae, Streptophyta, Magnoliopsida, Vitales, Vitaceae.